GAUGAACGCUGGCGGCGUGCCUAAUACAUGCAAGUCGAGCGAACGGACGAGAAGCUUGCUUUUCUGAUGUUAGCGGCGGACGGGUGAGUAACACGUGGAUAACCUACCUAUAAGACUGGGAUAACUUCGGGAAACCGGAGCUAAUACCGGAUAAUAUUUUGAACCGCAUGGUUCAAAAGUGAAAGACGGUCUUGCUGUCACUUAUAGAUGGAUCCGCGCUGCAUUAGCUAGUUGGUAAGGUAACGGCUUACCAAGGCAACGAUGCAUAGCCGACCUGAGAGGGUGAUCGGCCACACUGGAACUGAGACACGGUCCAGACUCCUACGGGAGGCAGCAGUAGGGAAUCUUCCGCAAUGGGCGAAAGCCUGACGGAGCAACGCCGCGUGAGUGAUGAAGGUCUUCGGAUCGUAAAACUCUGUUAUUAGGGAAGAACAUAUGUGUAAGUAACUGUGCACAUCUUGACGGUACCUAAUCAGAAAGCCACGGCUAACUACGUGCCAGCAGCCGCGGUAAUACGUAGGUGGCAAGCGUUAUCCGGAAUUAUUGGGCGUAAGCGCGCGUAGCGGUUUUUUAGUCUGAUGUGAAAGCCCACGGCUCAACCGUGGAGGGUCAUUGGAAACUGGAAAACUUGAGUGCAGAAGAGGAAAGUGGAAUUCCAUGUGUAGCGGUGAAAUGCGCAGAGAUAUGGAGGAACACCAGUGGCGAAGGCGACUUUCUGGUCUGUAACUGACGCUGAUGUGCGAAAGCGUGGGGAUCAAACAGGAUUAGAUACCCUGGUAGUCCACGCCGUAAACGAUGAGUGCUAAGUGUUAGGGGGUUUCCGCCCCUUAGUGCUGCAGCUAACGCAUUAAGCACUCCGCCUGGGGAGUACGACCGCAAGGUUGAAACUCAAAGGAAUUGACGGGGACCCGCACAAGCGGUGGAGCAUGUGGUUUAAUUCGAAGCAACGCGAAGAACCUUACCAAAUCUUGACAUCCUUUGACAACUCUAGAGAUAGAGCCUUCCCCUUCGGGGGACAAAGUGACAGGUGGUGCAUGGUUGUCGUCAGCUCGUGUCGUGAGAUGUUGGGUUAAGUCCCGCAACGAGCGCAACCCUUAAGCUUAGUUGCCAUCAUUAAGUUGGGCACUCUAAGUUGACUGCCGGUGACAAACCGGAGGAAGGUGGGGAUGACGUCAAAUCAUCAUGCCCCUUAUGAUUUGGGCUACACACGUGCUACAAUGGACAAUACAAAGGGCAGCGAAACCGCGAGGUCAAGCAAAUCCCAUAAAGUUGUUCUCAGUUCGGAUUGUAGUCUGCAACUCGACUACAUGAAGCUGGAAUCGCUAGUAAUCGUAGAUCAGCAUGCUACGGUGAAUACGUUCCCGGGUCU
RNAcentral lists this ribosomal RNA (1369 nucleotides) under uncultured bacterium. RNAcentral's name for it is "bacterial SSU rRNA". It matches the Rfam family "Bacterial small subunit ribosomal RNA", at positions 28 to 1381 of the family's 1533-position model. The record is from RNAcentral.